UGGUGGAGUGAUUUGUCUGGUUAAUUCCGUUAACGAACGAGACCCCUACCUGCUAAAUAGGCUGGUGAGUGAUUAUCACUGAUCAAGGCUUCUUAGAGGGACGUGCAUUCUAUUAGAUGCAGGAAGAUAGGGGCAAUAACA
RNAcentral lists this ribosomal RNA (141 nucleotides) under uncultured eukaryote. RNAcentral's name for it is "partial 18S ribosomal RNA". It matches the Rfam family "Eukaryotic small subunit ribosomal RNA", at positions 1299 to 1458 of the family's 1831-position model. The record is from RNAcentral.